UUAAUUGAAACCAAAAUAGAGGUAUAUCACUGUUAAUGAUAUCAUUAAGAAAAACUUCAAUUAAA
RNAcentral lists this transfer RNA (65 nucleotides) under Bostrichoidea sp. 7 KM-2017. Its description in RNAcentral is "tRNA-Asn". The record is from RNAcentral. Lineage: Eukaryota; Metazoa; Arthropoda; Insecta; Coleoptera.